CUUCCAUACUAGCACACAUUGUUGCUGUCGUCUGCUCGUUUUAUUAUUAUAAUUUUAGCUUGUUGACACAAUUAGUCACCCCGCUGUCGCUGACCGGCGGCUACGACAAGCACAAUGCGAGAAAAAUUACAUUCACAAUUAGUGAGGAAAUUGUAGACAAGUGAGCAAGUGUCUGUGACGCAGCACUGGUGAAAGCCGGCAGUCGUGGGAUGGUGGAGAAAGGGUAAAUGAAGUUUUUUCCUUGCGCUCUGUCAGUGGGCAUGUUUAAUUUGACAGCAUAAUAUGGCUUAGUACACCAUCUUAGCAAAUUUUUGCCAACAAAGAACAAAGUUUCGAUUUCGUAGUCCCCAAGGAACUUUUCUGAAGCUAAACAUAACAACCAACUAAAUCAAAAUAUGUAUUACAUUAUGAAGUAAUCUACGGCUUUGCGGGGGAGCAAAAGACUAUGGAGGAUCUGGGAUGGAAAAGUGAAUAUAUAGGCUCUGCCAUUUGAUUAUCAAUCAACUUUAUUUACGCGCGGCACUCCCUGUUUGGUUAGGAUAACCCUGUCAUCUAUAUAGAGUAAAUGGAGUUGUGAAACCAAACCAAAUACUUUGCAUCAGGUCUGAAAGGCUUCAGUCGAUAUCUCGACAUCAGAAUCGGAUAGAUAGGCUGAUAACUCUUUGGUCAAUCAUAAACCAAACUUAUCAACGAAGCCACACUGAAGAAGGAUCGGUUAAAACAAACACUCAUCCAAAUAACAGCCUUUUGCAUGAAAAAUAGUGCCAGCUUCGGAGCAUGGAAUAUUUGCGCACCCUAAGAAAAGUCUAGACCAAAAGCAAUGGAUAUAUUGUGAAACUGAAGUUAAAUUAUUAACUAUUUUGCAACAAAUAUUGAAAUGUAUUUGAAAACUUACGUUAAAAAUUAAUUCAAAUAAAUUUUUCAAUUCAAUUCGAAUAUAAUUGGACAGACUCAGCUGUUUCUGUUUACAUUAUUUUGUUUCCCAUACGUUUGGGGAAAAGCUAUGCUUUUUAUACUCUCGCAACAAAAUUUGCUAAAGAGAGUAUUAUAGUUUUGUUCACAUAACGGUUGUUUGUAACACCCAAAACUAAACGAGUUAGAUAUAGGGUUAUAUAUACCAAAGUUAUCAGGGUGAAGAGUGGAGUUCAAAUCCGAAUGUCUGUCUGUCCGUCUGUCCGUCCGUCCGUCCGUCCGUCUGUGCAAGCUAUAACUUGAGUAAAAAUUAAGAUAUCUUGAUGAAACUUGGCACACUUAUUUCUUGGCACCAUAGGAAGGUUGCUUUCAAAAAUGCAAAAUCGGACCACUGCCACGCCCACAAAAUGGCGAAAACCGAAAACACAUAAAGUGCCAUAAAUAAAGCUAUGGAAAUAAAAUUUGGUAUGAAGGAUCACAGUAUGAAGGGGCAUAUUUGGAUGUAAUUUUUUUGGGGAAGUGGGCAUGGCCCCGCCCCCUACUAAGUUUUUUGUACAUAUCUCGCAAACCAAUAGAGCUAUAUAAACCAAACUUUCUGCAGUCGUUUUUUUAGCCACUUCCUAAUACAGUCCAAAAAUGAAAGAAAUCGGAUAAUAACCACGCCCACCUCCCAUACAAAAGUUAGGUUGAAAAUUACUUAAAGUGGGUUAACUCACUAACGAAAAACGUCAGAAAAACUAAAUCACAUAAGAAAUGGUAGGUGAAAGCAGCACUCAGAUUUUUUUACAAAAUGGAAAGUGGGUGUGGCGUCGCCCACUUAUGGGUAAAAUAUCAUAUCUCUGGAACUACACGACCGAUUUCAAUGAAACUUGGUUUCCUUACAUCCCAAUGAUAUGUUGUGAAAAUAGGCCAAAUCGCUUCACAACCACGCCUACUUCCUAUAUAUCAGAACUUUGAAGAUGCUGAAUCGUUUACAUUACAAUAUAUGAAGUAAGCACUAGUGAAGAUAUCGGUGCAGAACUUUGCACAAAUACUAUAGUGUUGCAGCCCCAUUCUAAAAAUCGCCGAAAUCGGACCAUAGGUUUUUAAGGCCCCAUAUAUCGAACACGAGGACCUCGGUGCCUAAUAUUCCAACUUUCAACGGACUUUAUACAAUAUAUAUGACGAAUGUGUGGGUCAAAUUGUGUAUUAUAUAAUAUUAAUUAAGUCAAACAAAUAAAUUGCGAGAGUAUAAAAUGUUCGGUUACACCCGAACUUAGCCCUUCCUUACUUGUUAUUUUAUCAAAAUUGUCACAGAAUACCAAAAAAGUUCUUAUUUGAUAAAAAUUUGAAAAAAAUUUCAAUUUUUUUGUUAUUUUGUCCAGUGCACAGAAUAGGGCUGUUAGUAUCAGCUCGAAUUAUUAUGCUACCAAUAUAUGACAUUGGUUAGGUCAACAACUUGAUGUACGUGUCCCUUGGAUCUUUAUAAUGGUUCGUUAAUAUCAGGCCACCAAAUGCUGUAAAUCGAAAAUAUAUAAAGUGCUAUCAGUAAGACACAUGGGCGAAAUCCGACCACAAUUGCGCCAACUUCCCAUAUAAUACAAUGUAAAUAUCAUCAGAAUCGUUCACUUUAUAAUAGAAAAUUCAAGAAUCAGUGAGGGUAUCGGAAAGGUUUUUAAAAAUAUUGCUCUUGAGAUUUAACUACUUCCAUCUGAAUACAGUUGAACUUCCAUAACUCGAACUCUUGAAUUAGCACUAGAAGUUGAACUUCCUAAAAAUUACCUUCCGUAACUCGAAAGUCUCUCUAACUCGCAGUUUGUUUGUGGAUUAUGGAGAUUCGGGUGUGUGAGUAUUGUCAACAUAAUUGGCCUACUGAGAGUACUAUUCGCAACACCAUCACCCAUCUUUAGACCCAGCAUUUAUUAUUGUACAAUAUUCGACCGAAUGGACCAUGUCGUAGCUGGGAGUGUACACAAAAUACAGCUUGUGAAAUAACUGAAGCCGCUCGACCUUCCUAAGCGACAUCGCAUGUAGGCUUUUGAAAAGUACCAAUAAGAGCCAACGUUUUUCAGCCAAAUUCUGUUCAUCGAUGAGGACCAUUUCAAGCCCAAUGGCUAUGUAAACAGCAAAAUUGCCUCAUUUGGGACGAAGAGCAACCUGAAGAGAUUCAAGUUUGGGGUGGUUUGUGGGCCGAUGGAUUCAUCAGUCCAACGUAUCCGUCAAUGAAGACCGUUAUCGCACCAUGAUAACCGACUAUUUCAUGCCUGAUAUUGAAAUUCGUGCUCUCAUCAAAAUUUGAUUUCAACAAAACGGCGCCAUUCCCACACAUCGCAUCAAUCAAUGGAGCAGAAAAUUUCAAGUUUUGGGCUGGUCGAUUGGCAACCAAGAUUGUGUGAUAUCACACCGUUAGACGUUUUCCUGUGGGGAUAUAUAAAGUCACGCCUCGAUUCAGGCCUUGGAGCAAAACAUCACGCGGGUCAUUCGCCAGUUACCAGUCGAAAUGCUCGAACUAGUUAUCGAAAAUUGUACUCAACAGAUGUACCAUGGACAGACGUAGCAGCGGUCAACAUUCGAAAGAGAUAAUCUUUAAAAAAGUAGAUGCCAAAGAAUAUUCU
Long non-coding RNA from Zeugodacus cucurbitae (melon fly), 3506 nucleotides. RefSeq lists it as uncharacterized. The transcript is spliced from 3 exons. NCBI's taxonomy places the organism in Eukaryota, Metazoa, Arthropoda, Insecta, Diptera, Tephritidae. The record is from RefSeq and is a predicted model, not a curated record.